CAGAGAGGACAACUCCACCAACCGCCUCCGGGAGAGUCUGGACCUGUUCAGAUCCAUCUGGACCAACAGGUUCCUGAAGACCAUCUCUGUGAUUUCUGUUCCUGAACAAACAGGAUGUUUUGGCCGACAAGAUUCUGGCGGGAAAAUCCAAACUGGAGGAUUACUUUCCCGAGUACACAAACUACAGCGUCCCGCCGGACUCGGAGCCAGUCGCCGACGAAGAUCCUAUCGUCACUUCGAGCCAAGUUCUUCAUCAGAGACGAGUUCCUGGUAA
This 274-nucleotide long non-coding RNA is filed under the name Neogobius melanostomus (round goby). RNAcentral's name for it is "lncRNA (ENSNMLG00000005337.1)". Lineage: Eukaryota; Metazoa; Chordata; Actinopteri; Gobiiformes; Gobiidae. The record is from RNAcentral.